Alosa sapidissima (American shad) is the source of this 727-nucleotide long non-coding RNA. RefSeq lists it as uncharacterized. NCBI's taxonomy places the organism in Eukaryota, Metazoa, Chordata, Actinopteri, Clupeiformes, Clupeidae. The record is from RefSeq and is a predicted model, not a curated record. The transcript has 2 exons.
CUUAUUAUUCACCAAAAUCGCUUAAUAUCGUGUCCUUUGUGUGUUAGCUGCAAAUUCGUAGCCAUUAGCGCUAACGUUACCCACUUUGUCUGUAGCUAGCCUUGCUGCUAGUAGCACUGCAGGAGCAGUGAGGAAGAAUCGCAGGUUGAUGCCUAACUUUAACGUUAGUCCAUUGGGCUAGUUUUUGCCCUGGUCCUCUGACAUCCAUCCGUGAACGGCACUGCUAUUCACCGUCUCCUCGAAAAUAUUUCUCAGGACAGCUACUAGCCUCUGUGAGAGAUCUGCCGCUGCCGCGACCAAGGAACUGCUGCUGACCUGCGAGCUGCCGUGAUAGCAGCCUGCCCUGCAGUCUGGAUUGAGUAGCCUAGCUAACGUCGAAGAACUCUCACGAAACAACAAACUGUCGCUGUCAAAGUCCACCGACCUGCUGAUCUGCAGGAUCGCCCAACUGUUCUGUGCUUUCAGUGCUCCCCAGACUGCCAGUAAUCUUCCUCCGACACAGCUGAGCGCCGUCGUCAUCAUCAUCGGGACAUCAGCCGGUUAGAUGCAACGGACUAUGUUAACAUGACAUUUUCUUUCAGUGCGUUUAGCGGAGUUUGUUUAUCAAAAUAAGCCUUAUAUUUUACAUAUUGGUUUGUGUUAUGUUGUAGGCCUAGGCCUAAGCUUAGGCUAGCGGACACAGUGUUCUCUUUUGCCUUUUUAAAAUAAAAAACUAUUUUGAAAAUUA